RNAcentral lists this transfer-messenger RNA (357 nucleotides) under Bryobacterales. RNAcentral describes it as "RI-231 sp016125275 Standard tmRNA". It matches the Rfam family "transfer-messenger RNA". From Rfam's summary of the family: Bacterial tmRNA, also known as 10Sa RNA or SsrA, is named for its dual tRNA and mRNA-like properties. RNAcentral also lists the same sequence under 1 other name. The record is from RNAcentral. Lineage: Bacteria; Pseudomonadati; Acidobacteriota; Terriglobia.
GGGGGCGUACUGGAUUCGACAGGUCAGUUAUCGCUAUAGAGAGGCAUGCCGGGUUCCGAGCUCCCGUUAAACGAUCGGUUUUCACAGCUGCCAACAACAACACGCAGCUCGCUUACGCAGCCUAAUUAGGCUACGGCGUCUCCGGUUUCGGGCCCAUACGGGCCGGUCGACGUAAAAACCUCAUGGGCUGGACCGAGAGCUUCUGUUCGGAGCAGCAGGUCGAGAUUCAAUCGGACUGGAUCGCAUCCGCCUUGUCCAUUCAUUAGGGCGCGGUCGAGACAAAGGAAUGGAAUAAGCAUGUAGUCUCUUUGUAGGGAUCUGUCUUGGACGCGGGUUCGAUUCCCGCCGCCUCCACCA